AUUGAACGCUGGCGGCGUGCUUAACACAUGCAAGUCGUGCGGUAACAGGCGUAGCAAUACGUGCUGACGAGCGGCGAACGGGUGCGUAAUACAUGGGAAUCUGCCCUUUAGUGGGGAAUAACCCGGCGAAAGCCGGGCUAAUGCCGCAUAAGAUCUUCGGAUGAAAGCGGGGGAUCGUAAGACCUCGCGCUGAUGGAUGAGCCCAUGUCGGAUUAGCAGUUGGUGAGGUAACGGCUCACCAAGGCGACGAUCCGUAGCUGGUCUGAGAGGACGGCCAGCCACACUGGGACUGAGACACGGCCCAGACUCCUACGGGAGGCAGCAGU
This 326-nucleotide ribosomal RNA is filed under the name uncultured bacterium. Its description in RNAcentral is "bacterial SSU rRNA". It matches the Rfam family "Bacterial small subunit ribosomal RNA", at positions 30 to 355 of the family's 1533-position model. The record is from RNAcentral.